Molecule: long non-coding RNA, 810 nt
Organism: Solanum lycopersicum (tomato)
Lineage: Eukaryota; Viridiplantae; Streptophyta; Magnoliopsida; Solanales; Solanaceae
Source: RefSeq, a predicted model, not a curated record
UCAAAAUAAUUAGUAAACGUUACGAUUAUUAUUAUGAUUAUUAUAUUUUACAAAAUUAAAAAUAAAUUAGAAAAUAAAAACUAAAUCUAACCCAUUUUGACCCAUCAUUUUCUCCCAUUACCCCACUCACCAGUCUUACACUACAAACGCGCCCUCCCACGAAAAACAAGCAGUAACACUCCCCACACACCUAUAUACAUACUAUUAUUACACAACAAAGGAAAAUCAACAAAAAAUAUACAUCCACACACGUACAACAUAAGAAAAAAAGACAAAAACACAAAAAAGAAGAAGAAAAGAAAACAUAAAGAGACACAACAACACACUCACAGAAAAGAGAAAAAAAGUCACCUCAUUUUUCUAUAUUCUUCCUAUCAUAAUUAAGCAACACUUUGGUAUUUUUCUUCCUUCUUCAUUACUACUUUCCUAUAAAUAGAACACAUAUAUCAUUACAUACAAUCUACAAAAGAUUUGUGGGUGUUCUAAUUGAGCUUCGAUUAAGAUUUUGCGGUACUUAUUUUCUUUAUUUUGAGGUUAUGAGCCUAGAUCAUUGUAAUCACUCUUUCUUCUGUUUUGCGUCUGAGACUUACUGCGAAGAGUUGUGAGGUAUCUGCUUAUCAUCUCAGUAGAUACCUUUUACUCUUUUGUUAUGUUCUUAUUCUGUUCUAGAAAAAGACAUUCAGACUUGUACUUCUUUUAAUCUAAUGUAAUACUUAGAGGUUUGUACACAUAACAAUUAGACUUUGAGGUUAUAUUUGAGCUAUAUUAUAUUAUUCAUGUUGUUGAAAAUAUGUUAGUUUUUUAUUCUGA